UACGUAGGGUGCAAGCGUUGUCCGGAAUUAUUGGGCGUAAAGAGCUUGUAGGCGGUUUGUCGCGUCUGCUGUGAAAUUUCGGGGCUCAACCCCGAACUUGCAGUGGGUACGGGCAGACUAGAGUGUGGUAGGGGAGACUGGAAUUCCUGGUGUAGCGGUGAAAUGCGCAGAUAUCAGGAGGAACACCGGUGGCGAAGGCAGGUCUCUGGGCCAUAACUGACGCUGAGAAGCGAAAGCAUGGGGAGCGAACAGG
Molecule: ribosomal RNA, 253 nt
Filed under: uncultured bacterium
Lineage: Bacteria
Description: partial 16S ribosomal RNA
Rfam family: Bacterial small subunit ribosomal RNA
Source: RNAcentral